AAUGGGAAUACCAGAAUGUGACUUUCAAUACUAGGAUGUUCCUGACUCCUUUCUUCAAGGGGGGAAAAACAAGCCUGAGGAUUUAAAUACUUUGCAGGAGAUUACUUGUGACAGCAUAGACUCUAGCUAGUUUUUUCAAGUCAUAGGUGCCCCAAAAGUGCAGUCACUGUUACGAGAAGUGCUUUUGUUUUCCUGGCAAGCACCAGAACAAAGGUGCUGACAAGGAACUGGCUAUGCUGGAACUACUGUCAUCGAGCUAGACGGAGGUGAAUCUGCGCUGUGGCCUUGGAGCUAAAGAUAAUCCAAGAAUGAGAUGGUAUGUUGGGUUCGUAUUCUUGAUGUAAAAUGAGACACU
RNAcentral lists this long non-coding RNA (355 nucleotides) under Rattus norvegicus (Norway rat). RNAcentral's name for it is "long non-coding RNA NONRATT033751". Lineage: Eukaryota; Metazoa; Chordata; Mammalia; Rodentia; Muridae. The record is from RNAcentral.